RNAcentral lists this long non-coding RNA (2271 nucleotides) under Salmo salar (Atlantic salmon). RNAcentral describes it as "lncRNA (ENSSSAG00000119758.1)". Lineage: Eukaryota; Metazoa; Chordata; Actinopteri; Salmoniformes; Salmonidae. The record is from RNAcentral.
AUAAUGAUUUAGUUUAUUAGCUACAUAUGGAUCUAUGUUUAAAUCUAGCAAAGUAAAGCAGUCAGAGGUUAGUUACCAACAUAUUGAAUGUGUGCCUAUACUCUAUACCACAUAAGAAAAACAAGCCACAUUCAACAAGCCACAACAAGCCACAUUCAACAAGCCACAUUCAACAAGCCACAACAAGCCACAUUCAACAAGCCACAUUCAACAAGCCACAUUAAACAAGCCACAUUCAACAAGCCACAUUCAACAAGCCACAACAAAUCACAUUCAACAAACCACAUUCAACAAGCCACAUUAAACAAGCCACAUUCAACAAGCCACAACAAGCCACAUUAAACAAGCCACAACAAGCCACAUUCAACAAGCCACAUUAAACAAGCCACAUUCAACAAGCCACAUUAAACAAGCCACAUUAAACAAGCCACAUUCAACAAGCCACAUUAAACAAGCCACAACAAGCCACAUUCAACAAGCCACAUUCAUCAAGCCACAACAAGCCACAUUAAACAAGCCACAUUCAACAAGCCACAUUAAACAAGCCACAUUCAACAAGCCACAUUCAACAAGCCACAACAAGCCACAUUCAACAAGCCACAUUAAACAAGCCACAACAAGCCACAUUCAACAAGCCACAUUCAUCAAGCCACAACAAGCCACAUUCAACAAGCCACAUUCAACAAGCCACAUUAAACAAGCCACAACAAGCCACAACAAGCCACAUUCAACAAGCCACAACAAACCACAUUCACCAAGCCACAUUCAACAAGCCACAUUAAACAAGCCACAACAAACCACAUUCAACAAGCCACAUUAAACAAGCCACAACAAGCCACAACAAGCCACAUUCAACAAGCCACAACAAACCACAUUCACCAAGCCACAUUCAACAAGCCACAUUAAACAAGCCACAACAAACCACAUUCAACAAGCCACAUUAAACAAGCCACAACAAGCCACAACGAGCCACAACAAGCCACAUUCAACAAGCCACAUUCAACAAGCCACAUUCAACAAGCCGCAACAAACCACAAGCCACAUUCAACAAGCCACAUUCAACAAGCCACAUUCAACAAGCCACAACAAACCACAUUCAACAAGCCACAUUAAAGAAGCCGCAUUAAAGAAGCCACAUUCAACAAGCCACAUUCAACAAGCCACAUUCAUCAAGCCACAACAAGCCACAUUAAACAAGCCACAUUCAACAAGCCACAUUAAACAAGCCACAUUCAACAAGCCACAACAAGCCACAUUCAACAAGCCACAUUAAACAAGCCACAACAAGCCACAUUCAACAAGCCACAUUCAUCAAGCCACAACAAGCCACAUUCAACAAGCCACAUCCAACAAGCCACAUUAAACAAGCCACAACAAGCCACAACAAGCCACAUUCAACAAGCCACAACAAACCACAUUCAACAAGCCACAUUAAACAAGCCACAACAAACCACAUUCAACAAGCCACAUUAAACAAGCCACAACAAGCCACAACAAGCCACAUUAAACAAGCCACAUUCAACAAGCCACAUUCAACAAGCCACAUUCAACAAGCCACAACAAGCCACAACAAGCCACAUUAAACAAGCCACAUUCAACAAGCCACAUUCAACAAGCCACAUUCAACAAGCCACAACAAGCCACAACAAGCCACAUUAAACAAGCCACAUUCAACAAGCCACAUUCAACAAGCCACAUUCAACAAGCCACAACAAGCCACAACAAGCCACAUUAAACAAGCCACAUUCAACAAGCCACAACAAGCCACAUUCAACAAGCCACAACAAGCCACAACAAGCCACAUUAAACAAGCCACAUUCAACAAGCCACAACAAGCCACAUUCAACAAGCCACAUAAGAUAACGAGAUGUUAUCACCAACAGGGUUUGUGAUGGCCGUCUAAAUGUCUUAGACUUCACUCUCUUUAAUCAGAUAUCAAAAAUCAACUGGGUUAAAAGGUACAUAAAAAAAUCCUAAUUGUUUCUGGAAUAUUAUAACUCAUUUAGUUUUUCAGAAGCUUGAAGGGCUUCAUUUUUUACUACAAUGCCCGUAUAUUGUGGGUAAACUUCCUGUGAAAUUGGCGGCUUUUCACAAGCAGGCUUUAAUGUGCUGGGGUUUGCUGUAUAAACACAACUUUUCACCUCAUAAAUGUUUUAUAUGGAAUAAUGGGUCAAUAUUACAAUGAAACAAAAUGUUAUUUUACUGUAACUGGUUCUCGAAAAACAUUGUCCUUGUCAGCCAAUUAGUAUUAGAAGGAAUCUAUUUACGCGG